This 571-nucleotide ribosomal RNA is filed under the name Hanseniaspora guilliermondii. RNAcentral's name for it is "eukaryotic LSU rRNA". It matches the Rfam family "Eukaryotic large subunit ribosomal RNA", at positions 82 to 667 of the family's 3401-position model. The record is from RNAcentral. Lineage: Eukaryota; Fungi; Ascomycota; Saccharomycetes; Saccharomycodales; Saccharomycodaceae.
AGUAACGGCGAGUGAAGCGGUAAAAGCUCAAAUUUGAAAUCUGGUACUUUCAGUGCCCGAGUUGUAAUUUGUAGAAUUUGUCUUUGAUUAGGUCCUUGUCUAUGUUCCUUGGAACAGGACGUCAUAGAGGGUGAGAAUCCCGUUUGGCGAGGAUACCUUUUCUCUGUAAGACUUUUUCGAAGAGUCGAGUUGUUUGGGAAUGCAGCUCAAAGUGGGUGGUAAAUUCCAUCUAAAGCUAAAUAUUGGCGAGAGACCGAUAGCGAACAAGUACAGUGAUGGAAAGAUGAAAAGAACUUUGAAAAGAGAGUGAAAAAGUACGUGAAAUUGUUGAAAGGGAAGGGCAUUUGAUCAGACAUGGUGUUUUUUGCAUGCACUCGCCUCUCGUGGGCUUGGGCCUCUCAAAAAUUUCACUGGGCCAACAUCAAUUCUGGCAGUAGGAUAAAUCAUUAAGAAUGUAGCUACCUCGGUAGUGUUAUAGCUUAUUGGAAUACUGCUAGCUGGGAUUGAGGACUGCGCUUCGGCAAGGAUGUUGGCAUAAUGGUUAAAUGCCGCCCGUCUUGAAACACGGACC